AGCUUCUUGAAAUACGCACCUGUCCCUCGGAUCAGUAAAGGAUGAGUUCAUCGUCGCCCGCCGUGUUGAUCGUUGGUGCUGGUGCCGCUGGUAUCGCUGCCGCAACCCGUCUACUCGAGCAUGGAUUCUACAAUCUUACCAUCCUGGAGGGUGAGAACCGUAUCGGUGGCCGCAUUCACUCCGUACCCCGUGGUGCCAACAUGCUCGACUAUGGAGCCCAAUGGGUGCACGGCAAGGAUAACAAUUUCGUGUUCGAUAUGGCCGACAAGUACGGACUGGUGGAAACGGAGACGCACAAGGAAAAUGAUCUCUACUAUCGCUCUAACGGUGAGCCGGUACCGAAGGAAGUAUCCGAUCGGAUGAUGGAAACAUUGCACAGCUUGCUACAAUCUCACAUGGAUUCGCUGAAAGAUUUCUCCGGCUCUCUAGGAGCGUUCUAUGAUCAAGUGUUCCGCGAUGCGCUACAGGCGGGAAAGUUUGGCGAUGUGGAUAAGCGGACCUGUAAUCAGCUGUACGAUUUCUUUAUCAAGUACGAGAACACGUACAAUGCGACCGACACCCUGUAUGAGGUGUCCGGUGCUGGAUUGCUCGAGUUCGAGGACAACCAGGACGAGUAUCUUAUAAACUGGAAGAACCGUGGCUUUCACACGCUGCUCGAUUUGCUCAUGAAAAAACUUCCGGAGCAACACGCUAAACCAAUUUCGCUAGAGCAGUACGUGAGGUUGAAUCAUACCGUGAGCUCAAUCCGCUGGCGAGACUCCGACGGACCCGGCAACGAACAAUCGGUCACAGUGACCUGUACCAAUGGUGCGAGCUUUCACGCGACCCAUCUCAUCGUGACCGUAUCGCUCGGAGUGCUACAGGAGCAGCACAGUCGCUGGUUCGAUCCGCCGCUUCCGUUCACCAAGCGGAAUGCCAUCGAAGGGCUGUACAUUGGCACGAUCGAUAAAAUGUUUCUUGAGUUCGAGGAACCGUUUUGGCCACGUGACGGUAGCUGGCAUGGAUUCGGUCUACUCUGGGAGCCCCAUGAUCUCGAUCAACUCGAACCGAACCGCCGAUGGUUGGCGAGUGUUUGCAGCUUUUUCGUGCCGGCGCACACGGAACGAUUACUAGUGGCCUGGGUGUACGGAGAGGAUGCCCGCACGAUGGAAACCCUCUCGGAGCGAGACGUUAUCGAGGGUUUGAUGUACUUGUUGCGAAAAUUCAUACCGCACAAUCGCUAUCCAUUCCGUGCCAUUCCAUCGACACCCCGAUGGUUUUCGCGGAGUCGCUGGUACUCGAAUCCACACUUUAGAGGCACCUACACCAGCCGAUCAAUCAAAUCGGACCAGCUAAAUGCAACGGCUGCAGAUUUGGCCACACCUUUGGUUGGUACGCAAUCGCGAGCUCCGAUUGUACAGUUUGCCGGUGAAGCAUCCCAUCCGCAAUUCUACUCGACCGUUCAGGGAGCCGUAGGUAGCGGUUGGCGUGAAGCGAAUCGUCUGAUCGACCUGUAUUCUUCACAUGCUGCAUUGCAUAUUAAGGGAAAACUAUAACGAUCGUUCUCAGAUCGUUCGUGCAAUUAGUAGUUCUUACGCUACCUACUGAUAUUUUUAUUAAAUCGAUUUCGAUCAUUCAUUCUACACGUGAGAUGUGAUACACACGAACGGUUCCUUCUGGGAACCAAGAAACUUAG
This is an RNA transcript of Anopheles aquasalis, 1675 nucleotides long. It is a transcript of the gene named spermine oxidase-like, with no coding region annotated. NCBI's taxonomy places the organism in Eukaryota, Metazoa, Arthropoda, Insecta, Diptera, Culicidae. The record is from RefSeq and is a predicted model, not a curated record.